UGCGGCGGCACAGAUGAUCGCGUGCGUUUGUACGAGGAAAGUCCGAACUCCGCAGGGCAGGAUGCCGGGUAACGCCCGGUGGGGGGUCACUCCCCUAAGGAAAGUGCCACAGAAAAUAUACCGCCUGCAUGCAGGUAAGGGUGAAAAGGUGCGGUAAGAGCGCACCGGGGCGCUGGCAACAGGGCUCGCAUGGUAAACCCCAUCUGGAGCAAGGCCAAACAGGAAGGUGUUGACCUUCGGGUCAAUAAGGGUCGCCCGCUCUCGACUUCCGGGUAGGCCGCUUGAGACGGCCGGCAACGGUCGCCCUAGAUGAAUGAUCGUCGCCCGGGUGCUGGUGACAGCGCCAUGGGAACAGAAUUCGGCUUAUGGGCCGCCGCAACAC
Molecule: RNase P RNA, 382 nt
Filed under: Deltaproteobacteria bacterium
Lineage: Bacteria; Pseudomonadati; Myxococcota; Myxococcia
Description: RNase P RNA component class A
Rfam family: Bacterial RNase P class A
About the family: Ribonuclease P (RNase P) is a ubiquitous endoribonuclease, found in archaea, bacteria and eukarya as well as chloroplasts and mitochondria. Its best characterised activity is the generation of mature 5'-ends of tRNAs by cleaving the 5'-leader elements of precursor-tRNAs.
Source: RNAcentral